GAAGAGCACUUUGACAUUAGCUCUCUGUUUCAGGUGCUGUGUCAACUCCAAAAAAUUGUAAAAAAAGAAGAACAAUAUAAAAUGAUUAAAGGAAAAAACAUAUGGUGUGCAGUACCAGCUACCAGCGUGCACAAAAAAAUUUAAUGUAGAAGAGCGUUAUUUUUUCCGAUUUCCGAAGGAACAUGAAAGAUGAUUGCAAUGGAUACGAUCAUGUGGAAGGCUGAACUUAGAACCAAAAGGUCCAGAAUAUGUGUACCACAAUUGUCGGUUGUGCCAUUUGCAUUUUGAAUAAAAAUGGUACACAAUAAAUAAAAUGAGAGCUUCAUCCAGAUGCCAUACUGACAAUAUUUUUUGUACUAGAAUGUGGGAAAGAAAACACACUUGACAUGGACAUUAAAGACGAAGCAGAAACAAAUAAAACUACAUUCAAGGGUACAAAACAGGACAUGAAAUUGUUGGAUAGCCCAAGGAAAAAGAAGCUGCGUUUGUAGAUUGCAAAAUUGAAGGCACAAAACGAAACGCUCCGCGAAACAAUCCGACGACUCCGUUUGAAAGAAAAGAAGAAAAGCAUACAAACAAAAGAGACUAACGAACAUGAAACUUUGAAAAAAUUAAGCCACUUCUGAAAAAAACGCAACUUAAAUUACAUUACAUGAUGUAUCGUAGGAGCAGAGACAAUAAGUAAUGUGCACAUAUAUAUUUUCCAACUAAAAAGAUAUACCCAAUGCAUACAUACAAAAUACAUCAUAAAUUGUCGUUAGUUUUGACUGCGUAGAAUAAUAGCUAGAUUAUAUUAUAAAUUAAAUAUACUGAAUGUAAUUUCUUGAAGCUGAUGUAAUUAUUUCAUCAUUACAGUAUACAAGCGCAAAAGAGAUACAAUGCUGACAUAUUCUUUGGCAUAACAAUUAGCUAUAAGUUCAUAAUUUAAGAUAUAAAUAACAUUUGAUUAUAAUAAUGCUCAGA
Molecule: long non-coding RNA, 963 nt
Organism: Trachymyrmex cornetzi
Lineage: Eukaryota; Metazoa; Arthropoda; Insecta; Hymenoptera; Formicidae
Exons: 5
Source: RefSeq, a predicted model, not a curated record